ACUCGAACUCUUCGAGCAAAGCUUUAUUUUCUGUUUUGUUCGUUCGGCUCGAGUUA
RNAcentral lists this microRNA precursor (56 nucleotides) under Parasteatoda tepidariorum (common house spider). RNAcentral's name for it is "microRNA pte-mir-375 precursor (pte-mir-375-2)". Its record names the gene pte-mir-375-2. The record is from miRBase by way of RNAcentral. Lineage: Eukaryota; Metazoa; Arthropoda; Arachnida; Araneae; Theridiidae.